Molecule: ribosomal RNA, 253 nt
Filed under: uncultured bacterium
Lineage: Bacteria
Description: partial 16S ribosomal RNA
Rfam family: Bacterial small subunit ribosomal RNA
Source: RNAcentral
UACGGGGGGGGCAAGCGUUGUUCGGAAUUACUGGGCGUAAAGCGGGCGCAGGCGGGUUUGUAAGGCAGAUGUGAAAGCCCCGGGCUUAACCUGGGAAUGGCAUUUGGGACUGCAAGGCUGGAGUGUGGCAGAGGAGACUGGAAUUCCUGGUGUAGCAGUGAAAUGCGUAGAUAUCAGGAGGAAUACCGAUGGCGAAGGCAGGUCUCUGGGCUGACACUGACGCUCAUGCACGAAAGCGUGGGGAGCAAACAGG